GGUUGAUCCUGCCAGUAGUCAUAUGCUUGUCUCAAAGAUUAAGCCAUGCAUGUCUAAGUAUAAACGACUUUGUACUGUGAAACUGCGAAUGGCUCAUUAAAUCAGUUAUAGUUUAUUUGAUAGUACCUUACUACUUGGAUAACCGUGGUAAUUCUAGAGCUAAUACAUGCUAAAAACCCCGACUUCCGGAAGGGGUGUAUUUAUUAGAUAAAAAACCAACCUGGGCAACCAGUUUUUUGGUGAUUCAUGAUAACUUUUCGAAUCGCAUGUCUUUGACGGCGAUGGUUCAUUCA
RNAcentral lists this ribosomal RNA (293 nucleotides) under uncultured eukaryote. RNAcentral describes it as "partial 18S ribosomal RNA". It matches the Rfam family "Eukaryotic small subunit ribosomal RNA", at positions 6 to 301 of the family's 1831-position model. The record is from RNAcentral.